UCAUUCGGAUCGGAGUCUGCAACCCGACUCCGUGAAGCUGGAUUCGCUAGUAAUCGCGCAUCAGCCAUGGCGCGGUGAAUACGUUCCCGGGCCUUGUACACACCGCCCGUCAAGCCAUGGGAGCCGGGAGCGCUUGAAGUGCGUCGCCGCGAGGCGCGCCCUAGAGCGAGACCGGUGACUGGGGCUAAGUCGUAACAAGGUACC
This 204-nucleotide ribosomal RNA is filed under the name uncultured bacterium. RNAcentral describes it as "partial 16S ribosomal RNA". It matches the Rfam family "Bacterial small subunit ribosomal RNA", at positions 1288 to 1500 of the family's 1533-position model. The record is from RNAcentral.